GGGGAUGUAGCUCAGUGAUAGAGCACUUGCCUAGCAUGUGAUCCCCAGUACCACAAAGAAAAAAAAGUUAAAAAAAAAAAAAGUCAAAAAUAGUGGCACGCACCUGUACUUAUGAAUCUGGGAGGCUGAGGCAGGUGGUCCCAAGUUCAAGGCUAGCCUUGGCAACUUAG
RNAcentral lists this transfer RNA (170 nucleotides) under Marmota monax (woodchuck). Its description in RNAcentral is "tRNA.Ala". The record is from RNAcentral. Lineage: Eukaryota; Metazoa; Chordata; Mammalia; Rodentia; Sciuridae.